UAAGAGAGAAUCAAAUGGAAAC
RNAcentral lists this non-coding RNA (22 nucleotides) under Rattus norvegicus (Norway rat). Lineage: Eukaryota; Metazoa; Chordata; Mammalia; Rodentia; Muridae. The record is from RNAcentral.